CCGAAAGGGAGAUUAAUACCGCAUAACAUUAUUUUAUGGCAUCAUAGAAUAAUCAAAGGAGCAAUCCGCUUUGAGAUGGACCCGCGGCGCUUUAGCUAGUUGGUGAGGUAAGGGCUCACCAAGGCGACGAUGCGUAGCCGACCUGAGAGGGUGAUCGGCCACAUUGGAACUGAGACACGGUCCAGACUCCUACGGGAGGCAGCAGUGGGGAAUAUUGCGCAAUGGGGGAAACCCUGACGCAGCAACGCCGCGUGAGUGAUGAAGGUUUUCGGAUCGUAAAACUCUGUCUUUAGGGACGAUAAUGACGGUACCUAAGGAGGAAGCCACGGCUAACUACGUGCCAGCAGCCGCGGUAAUACGUAGGUGGCAAGCGUUGUCCGGAUUUACUGGGCGUAAAGAGUAUGUAGGUGGGUGCUUAAGUCAGAUGUGAAAUUCCCGGGCUUAACCUGGGCGCUGCAUUUGAAACUGGGCAUCUAGAGUGCAGGAGAGGAAAGUGGAAUUCCUAGUGUAGCGGUGAAAUGCGUAGAGAUUAGGAAGAACACCAGUGGC
RNAcentral lists this ribosomal RNA (549 nucleotides) under Clostridium botulinum C. RNAcentral describes it as "bacterial SSU rRNA". It matches the Rfam family "Bacterial small subunit ribosomal RNA", at positions 151 to 716 of the family's 1533-position model. Lineage: Bacteria; Bacillati; Bacillota; Clostridia; Eubacteriales; Clostridiaceae. The record is from RNAcentral.